Molecule: ribosomal RNA, 492 nt
Filed under: uncultured bacterium
Lineage: Bacteria
Description: bacterial SSU rRNA
Rfam family: Bacterial small subunit ribosomal RNA
Source: RNAcentral
CAGGCCUAACACAUGCAAGUCGAACGGUAACAGGAAGCAGCUUGCUGCUUUGCUGACGAGUGGCGGACGGGUGAGUAAUGUCUGGGAAACUGCCUGAUGGGGGGGGAUAACUACUGGAAACGGUAGCUAAUACCGCAUAACGUCGCAAGACCAAAGAGGGGGACCUUCGGGCCUCUUGCCAUCGGAUGUGCCCAGAUGGGAUUAGCUAGUAGGUGGGGUAACGGCUCACCUAGGCGACGAUCCCUAGCUGGUCUGAGAGGAUGACCAGCCACACUGGAACUGAGACACGGUCCAGACUCCUACGGGAGGCAGCAGUGGGGAAUAUUGCACAAUGGGCGCAAGCCUGAUGCAGCCAUGCCGCGUGUAUGAAGAAGGCCUUCGGGUUGUAAAGUACUUUCAGCGGGGAGGAAGGUGUUGAGGUUAAUAACCUCAGCAAUUGACGUUACCCGCAGAAGAAGCACCGGCUAACUCCGUGCCAGCAGCCGCGGUAAU